CUGCACCCGCAGUCACACACUCCGCAGUCCGCAUUCGUAACAGCCAAAUUUAAUAAAAUAUAUAUUAUAUUUGUCAGUUUGUCUUACACUCUUACGUGCUUGUGAAGUUAUUUUAAUAGACAAUGGACGUCUUUAUGAAAAAAUAUUUUGGCCGAAUGGGGAUUUGAAGAUUUUAUUGGAAAAUUUAACGACGAAGAAAUUGGGCAUGAGCAAUUUAUGACAUUAACAGAGUCUAUGAUUCAAGAGCUUAUACCUAAAGUUGGUAGACGAUCUACUUUCCUUAAUAAAUUUAUUAAUUUUAAAAAAAAUCAAAAAGUUAACAAAGAUGUACACUGUCAAAAUAUUCUUAUUAAUGAUAAUCCGGGAACGUCAUUUUCAGAAGACACUAUUUCAGAUGAUGUAGGGUGUAUUAAUAUUCAGAAUUUACUAUUUGAAAUGGAUGAUGACACUUCAGUUGUAAUACCAUCUUUAUUAAUGUAUAAAUCCAAUACAAUAAUUAAUGAAAGUAUUCCUGCCUCAAGUAGAUUGUCAAAAAUGAUAACUGUUAUUGAUUCCGAAAAGGGAAACAUUGUAAACGACAUUUUGAAAAAAUACCAAGAUGGUUUAAUGAUUUUAAAAUUGUACACCACAAAAGGCAUUUUAAAUAAUGCUUCCAGGAAUUCUCUUGCAUCAGUAUUAGUCAAACAUGAAUUACAAACAGAACCUAAUCACCAAAUUACUAAAUCUAAGUUUUUACUGUUAGCAGAAGAAAUAGAAAUGAUUUUCCCUACUGAAUCCAAGGACACAUAUUACACACCAUAUUGUAGAACUGGACAAAUACUAAUUCCAACUAGAGGGAAAUUGUAUGAUAAAUACUGUAAUAUAAAAAAAAAAAAAAUUAAAAAAAAUUGGAGCCCCUGCCACUACAUCAUGUGUUAAUGAUGAUGGAAAUAAUUUAAUCAAUGAUGCAGAUUAUGAAGACAGAAUUCAAUGGUUAAAAAAUAAUGUUGAGCCUGAACACAUUUUAUUCAAAUACUGGCAAGAAACUUCUAAUUUUAGAAUUAAGAAGGCAUUUUUAGAAACGCAUAAUUAUCCUGCUUAAAAAAAACCUACAGGCUAUCUAUUGAUUGAAAUUGAUUUUGAAAUAUUAUACCCAGAUA
This is an RNA transcript of Sipha flava (yellow sugarcane aphid), 1139 nucleotides long. RefSeq lists it as uncharacterized. The record is from RefSeq and is a predicted model, not a curated record. Lineage: Eukaryota; Metazoa; Arthropoda; Insecta; Hemiptera; Aphididae. The transcript is spliced from 9 exons.